AUACCUUUCUCGGCCUUUUGGCUAAGAUCAAGUGUAGUAUCUGUUCUUAUCAGUUUAAUAUCUGAUACGUGGGUCAUCGACUCACAUGAUAUUAAAUUAAUUUUUUUCAGGGGAAAGACCUGUUUGGGCAGCUUGCUGCCUUGGCCUUUGUGUGUCGCCCAAACUUUGCACUAUUGCUUGGGCCAGGCACUCCCCCA
Andrographis paniculata is the source of this 197-nucleotide small nuclear RNA. RefSeq annotates it as U2 spliceosomal RNA. The transcript has a single exon. Lineage: Eukaryota; Viridiplantae; Streptophyta; Magnoliopsida; Lamiales; Acanthaceae. The record is from RefSeq and is a predicted model, not a curated record.